UNGUAAUAGGUGUGUUCAGUUAUAUCUGA
This 29-nucleotide non-coding RNA is filed under the name Mus musculus (house mouse). Lineage: Eukaryota; Metazoa; Chordata; Mammalia; Rodentia; Muridae. The record is from RNAcentral.